UUGAACUUGGAAGCCUGUCACUUGUAUUUGCCCAAAUUUCCCGCUUAUCUCUCAAAGCACUACAGUGUCAGUGAGCUCAUCUCGAAGGUUCAAGCCAUUUCUUAAUUAGGGCUUCUUUUGUCCUGUAAUCAGAAUGAAGCCAAGUCGCAAGCUCAAGAGAGACGAUAAUUCAUCAAAGCUGGUUUUGGAGGAGAUUAUUGGAUUGACGACCAAGGAUAGCAAUGGAUUGGCUUCCAAUAUCUCGACAUCCACAAUUGCCUAUUUGGCGGGUUCCGUGGUGGUUGUUUAUAAUGUCAAUUUGGGUACUCAGUCGCCCCUCAUGGUGUCUCAUCGACCGCCAAAGCGUUUGAGCUGUGUAGCUUUAUCACAGGACGGACACUUUAUUGCAGCUGGAGAGGCAGGGCGCCACUCCUCUGUAAUAGUAUGGGAUUCUGUUAAUUUAUCCUUUAUCUCUGAACUAAAAGGUCAUCUAUAUGGAGUUGCUUGCAUCUCUUUCUCACCCAAUGGUAAACACCUGGUAUCUGUUGGGGUGUAUAUACACCUUUGGGACUUUCGAAGUGGUGAGCUGGUUACAAAGCUUCAAGCAACUUCAUCUUGUUCUAGUAUCACAAGUGUUGGCUUUUCUUUGGAUGCAAAAGUUAUUGUAACUGCUGGGAAAAGGCACUUGAAAUUGUGGGCUCUUGGAUCAUCUAGGAGGACUCAACUGAAUGGAGGGAUGGGCAGGACGACAUCACUGGCAAUACAUGCAAAGCCUGCCAACCUUGCUAUUCAAAGAGGAAGCUCAUUUAUAUCCAUUGCUUCUUCUGUAUGGAGCAAUAAUUUCAAACAAGCGGGUGAUAGUUUUCCCCUUUAUGCAUUAACUGAUGCAGGAAUUUUGCACCUUAUAGAUUCUGGAUUGGCCGUCAAAAAGUCAGUGGAUUUAAAGGUAAAAAAAGCUUUUGCAUUAUCAACAUCAAGAAAGCUAAUUGCUUGUGCGUGCAACGAUGGAAUAGUCCAAUUCUUUUCCCCCGAGUCUCUAGAAUAUGCUGGAAGCAUAUUAUAUUCACAGGAAAAAAGGUUUCAUGAUGAAAAAGAUAUAGUUAGCUAUGAUGAAGUUGCUAAGCGGGACUUUCAACAGUUGCCUGCCCUGCCAGAUGCAGUUGCAUGUCAGUUUUCAGCCUUAGAAAAGCUUGUGGUUAUUUAUGGGGAUCAUACUCUAUACAUUUGGAGCAUCCAUGAUGUGCAUCAGGCUGCAAGGUUUUGUGUGCUAGUUUCACAUUCCUCAUGUAUAUGGGAUGUCAAAAAUCUAUGUUGUGAAAACAUGCAUGAUCCAUCCCUUGCAUGCAUUGCUAGAGGUUGUUCUGGUGGAAUUUCAUUUGCAACAUGCUCUGCUGAUGGUACAAUAAGGCUAUGGGAUCUUGCUUUGCAAUCUGAUUUACCAAAAGACACUGCAGAGCAUCACUCUAUAAAGGCUGAAUUAACAAGUUCUUCAAGUUUAGUAACUACUGGGACUUUUGAACAUGAAGCAGUUGAAGCAGAUGUUGGCAGGAAAGGGUUUCGGUCUCUUGCUGUUAGUACAGAUGGAAAGUAUCUUGCUGCUGGUGAUUGUGAAGGAAACCUUCAUAUAUACAACCUUGAAACAUCAGAUUACACGUGCAUUCAGAGUGCUCAUGGGGCAGAGAUCCUUGCACUGAGCUUUACUUUAUGCGGCCAAGACAUAUGUGAAGAAAUUGCCAAAAACAGUUGCUAUCUUGCUUCGGGGGGUAGGGAUUGUAUAAUUAAUCUCUAUGAUGUAGAAAGAAAUUUCAAUCUCAUUGACAGUAUUGAUGAUCAUUCAGCUGCUGUGACUUCUAUAACAAUUACAAGCAACAACUGCAAGAUCCUCAGUUGUGGUGCUGAUAGUUCGCUGGUGCUUCGUGACAUUCGGAUAGCAGAUUCUGGUUAUAAAAUUUUGCAGCAUCAUAGUUUAAAGGCUUCGCGUGGAACUGUUUAUGACAUGGCUGCAGAUCCAAGAUUGGGGAUUGUAAUCACAGUUGGGCAGGAUAAGAAGAUAAACACAUUUGACAUCGCUGAUCGAAAGCUAAUUAGGUCAUACAAGCAAGAUAAAGAUUUUGGAGACCCUAUAAAGGUUACAAUGGAUCCAAGUGGCACUUAUGUGGUCUGCUCAUCCUCUAACAAGUCCCUCUGCAUAUACGACAUUUUCACGGGGGAGAUGGUUGCAAAUGCCAUGGGACAUGCUGAAGUUGUAACUGGCAUCAUCUUCUUGCCUGAUUGCAAGCAUAUAGUUUCUGUAGAUGGUUAUGGUUGUGUUUUCCUGUGGAAAUUGCCUGCUUCUUUGUCUUCUAAAAUACUGGAGAAUAUAAUGAAGAAAAGUAAUUCAUUGUCUCCAAGAAGCUUAGCUCAAUCUGCUACUUUUUGCCGUCCACGAUCCUAUGGAGAGCAGUUGCAGCAAUCUAAUAUCAAUCCUGAGGAUGUCUGGUCACUGGGGAACAAUGGCCAAGGUAGCAAGAGAAUGUCUUAUCCAGGAAGCAGUUAUAGAGAGGCUAAAGCUUUUAAAUUUAGUGUUUCAAGACUUCCAAAAUGGGCACAAGCCAAAGUGAGCAGCUCCAAUAUUGUCUGCCAGAAUACAAACAACACUUUAUUAGAGGCCUAUUCCUUAUCCCCAGAAGUUACUGUACCGGUUGAUCAUGCUUCCUCAUCACCUGGGUGUACAAAAUCUCGAUGUCUUUCAAGGCCAGAAGGAACUUUCAGCAACUUUGCUUUGGACGACCGUUGGCUCUCUGUUUAUACUGUUUGCAUGGAUGCUUUGUCCUCUCCAGAGAUGCAAAGUUUAAUGGAUACAAAGAUAUCAAAGUUUUCCUCAAGACAAGAAGGGGCUGAGAUUAUAAGGGACCAAAGUUCUUUUGGGCAUGGUAGCCAUAUUAAACGAGAAAAACAGAAUCUUUUCUCAGACCAACUUGCAGGUUCCGACGGUAAUAAUGGAUCAUGUUGUGAAUGUCCUGAACAAAUUUCUGGCAGCACAGCAGAGCAGUUACAUACAGAUGGAUAUGAAAGUGAUUCAGAAGCAACUAAUGAGUCCGACUUACACAAUAUGCAUCCUGAAGAAGAAAGUGAACUAUUUAAGCAACAUUUUGGCAGUUUAUCAAAUACACAAAAGAUGGAGGCACGAAAAUCAUUAUUGCAUAGGUACUCUGCAAGAUUCGUUGUGCAGCAUCGUUACCCUGGGGGCUGCAAGGGACUAUUUAGCACUCCAGUCAGAAAUAUCACUGAUGAAACCAGUAACUAUGAGGGAGACACCACAGCUCAUACUAUGUUGGAAAAAGCAUCCUCUCAGAUGAUGGGAAAUGAACAAGUAAAAAUUUCUUUGGAACAGGACCUCAAGAAUUUGGCACAACGCUCCGAAAAUUCAGCAUGUGCAUUGACUCAACGCCCGGUCAAAGAAAAUUCGAUUGACAAUGAUCUGAGCGAGGACACAGAUAGAAAAGAAAGUCUUCCUAAAGAGAAUAGACCAAAGGAAACCAUAAUUGCAUGCAAGGAUGCAUUGAAUAGAUUGGAUUCUGCAGCUGAGAUUGCUGUGCAGUUAUUUUCAAGAUUAGAAAUCAGUAGUUGUGGAGGAGAGACUUCAGAAGAAGCUGGAGCUCAGUUAUAUAAUGAAGCAGCUGAGCUUCUUCCAUCAAUUAUUGAGAAAGUUAAUGCAGUUGCGAGGUUGGUUAGAAGUACGAAGAAUGAUUUGUUUGAUUCAAUAUCGCAUCGAUUGUAAGGGAAAUUUUUCUCAAGGCAGAUCAGUCAGGAUAGCCGAAAUGCCAAAGACACUAGCAUUCUGUUUUUUCUAGGUUUAUGUUCAAUUGGCUCAGUCGAACUCCUUUUGUUUACUUUGUUUGAAGUACCGAAAAAGAACCAAAAGAAAUAAAGUGCUAAUGGGCAUAGUCUACCUAAUGAGCAAUAACAUGACCCAAAAGUAAAGCAAAUUAGCAGCACUGAGGGCAGUAAAGGAUGGCAAAGGCGUUUGCUACAUGAGGAAAGCUCUUCCCAUUUCUAUCACUUUAGCAUUGAUUUCUUUACUCUUAAAGUUGAAAUAUAUUAUGAAAAAUUAGGGGGAGAGAGAAAGAUAAAAAGAAAGAGAUAAAAUCAACUAGAGUUGAAUUUAGUAAAAGGGUAAAGUUUUUGUAGGAGGGAAGGAAAGUUAGAGAGAUACAAAUUUAUGAGACCAUAAUUCAUUGGUAAUCUAUAA
RNA transcript from Prosopis cineraria, 4210 nucleotides. RefSeq lists it as uncharacterized. The record is from RefSeq and is a predicted model, not a curated record. The transcript is spliced from 21 exons. NCBI's taxonomy places the organism in Eukaryota, Viridiplantae, Streptophyta, Magnoliopsida, Fabales, Fabaceae.